GACGAACGCUGGCGGCGUGCUUAACACAUGCAAGUCGAGCGGUAAGGCCCUUUCGGGGGUACACGAGCGGCGAACGGGUGAGUAACACGUGGGUGACCUGCCCUUAGCUCUGGGAUAAGCCUGGGAAACUGGGUCUAAUACCGGAUAUGACUCCAUGACGCAUGUUGUGGGGUGGAAAGCCUUGUGCGGCUAGGGAUGGGCCCGNGGCCUAUCAGCUUGUUGGUGGGGUGAUGGCCUACCAAGGCGACGACGGUAGCCGGCCUGAGAGGGCGACCGGCCACACUGGGACUGAGACACGGCCCAGACUCCUACGGGAGGCAGCAGUGGGGAAUCUUGCGCAGUGGGCGAAAGGCCUGACGCAGCGACGCCGCGUGAGGGAUGACGGCCUCGGUU
Molecule: ribosomal RNA, 393 nt
Filed under: uncultured bacterium
Lineage: Bacteria
Description: bacterial SSU rRNA
Rfam family: Bacterial small subunit ribosomal RNA
Source: RNAcentral